Molecule: non-coding RNA, 338 nt
Filed under: Aspergillus fischeri NRRL 181
Lineage: Eukaryota; Fungi; Ascomycota; Eurotiomycetes; Eurotiales; Aspergillaceae
Description: Neosartorya fischeri NRRL 181 Eukaryotic large subunit ribosomal RNA
Rfam family: Eukaryotic large subunit ribosomal RNA
Source: Rfam by way of RNAcentral
UUGGUUUUUGCGGCUGUCUGACCAGGCAGUGCCGCGACGCUACCAUCUGCCGGAUAAUGGCUGAACGCCUCUAAGUCAGAAUCCGUGCCGGAACGCGGCGAUGUAGCCCCGCACGUCGUAGUUGGAUACGAAUAGGCCUCCGGGCCAUGCACCUCAGCAGGCUGGCGACGGCUCCCGGGGAGAAACCCCCGGGGGCUGGCUGGCGGAUUGCAAUGUCACCUCGCGCGGGGAUGAAUCCUCUGCAGACGACUGAAGUGACCAAGCGGGUCGUGUAAGCGGUCAAGUAGCCUUGUUGCUACGAGUCGCUGAGCGUCAGCCCGAUCCUUGGCUAGAUUUGU